AUGGAGCGCGGCGAGGCAGCGCCGGCGGCAGGCCGGGAGCCGAGCCUGGGGGCGAGCAGUGAGGGAUGGGGAGUGGGUGGCCUCUCUGUUGUGGAGUGGAGCACCUUCAAACGGCGGGGAAAAUACAUCCUACGCCGGGCGAGAGAUCCGGAAGGCUGUCUGCGGCGCUUUCGGAUCAAAGCAGUUGGCUUCUUCAAAUUGGAUCCAUCUGGUACUGAUUCAAAGGGAGCAGGGACGCAGAUCGAGGCCCCUGAUUUCGCCAGGAAGAAUCACACCAUGGUGAGUUAUGGAGAGUUUAAUGGAGCAGUUUCUGAUAGAUUAAUUUGCAAUUCUUCUAUGGAUGGGACGGGGAUUCUAGUGGGGUAA
RNAcentral lists this ribosomal RNA (366 nucleotides) under Triticum aestivum (bread wheat). Its description in RNAcentral is "partial small subunit ribosomal RNA". The record is from RNAcentral. Lineage: Eukaryota; Viridiplantae; Streptophyta; Magnoliopsida; Poales; Poaceae.